CACAGCAAGAGAUCUGGGGAUGCUCUUUUUGAUGAAUCACUUUGUGGGGCCUGCCUCUCCCACCUGUCUUUUCCUGGGGCAGAAGGACUGCUAACUGCAGCAAGUGACGUCAGUCGGGGAGGUAAUGGUGCAGCAGCAGAGGGGUGCAAUCAGAUGCUGCUGGGGAGGGAGGAUGUUUGCCUGGCAGUGGCCACCUUUCAUCUGCAGCAUCUUGCAGGGUUUUACGAGAGAUCAUUAAUUAGGCUUCUGAAGGCUUGGGGCAGAAACGGGUAUUGCAGCGGAGCUUACGUAGGUGCCUACGUAAGAAGAAAUGUUCAUGGACCAAUUACUGUGCAUAUGUAGUCACUAUCUCCUUUCACACAAGAUCUCAAAGCAGUUUCCCAAGGCAAGUAGGAGAGCUAAUUGCUUGGUUCCUGGAAGGCCUAGUGCCUAUCUAGAAUAGGAAAUCCUAGCCACAAAUUAUUUCUUCAUGAGUGCCCAGAUUGGCACAUGAGGCCUUGAGCAUGGGGAGGACAACUGUAGGAUCACUGAGUACAUGGCAGCAGUCUCUAGGGUAGCCUGUGAUAGAAUCAUAUGAUGUCAGAACUGAGUGAACAUCAGACACCAUCUAGGGCUUCUGUGUGGGGUACCACAGCAAUGAAGAGCCACUGAGCUCUUGAACAUACAGGUGCGCUUUAAGAUUUAUCACAAGCUUAACACCAUUCCAGACCAGAGUUCGUACAGGAAAGAAUGUAAAAAUUUAUGGAGGCCAUCCCUAAUCUGAAAAACCUGAAAUACAAAACAUUUGGGAAUCCAAAACCUCUCGAUCACCUACAUGAUUGCAAUGAAAACAAGCAAGGAGAACCUGAAAUGUCUGUGAUGUCAUGUUUGGUCAACAAACCACUCAGCUGAUAAAAGCAAGAACACUAGCCCACAAACAAAGAGAUGUCUUCAGUGGAGCAGCUUCCAUGGAUCCGUGUUUUACCCUUCGGCCAUUCACAACCUCACCUUCUGCUGCUGCUCAGGGCCUUCUUAUUUUGUGUUGCAGUGUACUGGAGAUCACAUAUAAGCCAAUGAGCAUCACUGUUGAACAAUAAGAAGAAAAAAGUCUACAACCUCCCAAAUACCAAACCCUAGAAUUUCAGAGAAGCAAGGCUGAGUCAUCCACACAGCAGUGUGGGCAUUUGCCCUGAAAGUGCUGAACCAGCCAAAUUUAUUUGGCAAAUGUGUGCCAAGCUUGCAUGUGUACUUCCAGCAGGUAACAUUUACUGGGAAAGUCUCUCACAUCUACUACCGUGUCAGUCCCUGAGAGUCUAGAAUGCUCAUGGUCACAGAAGCCAUUCUAUGCAACUAGAGGAAAAAACUGCGUGCGCUUGGAGAGCAGGAGCUGGGGCCAUAAAGCAACCUCAUUGCUAAGCAAAGAGGACUAUACUGCUACUGUGGUGGCAGAAUUGGGAGACUAGAAAGAAAAAACAGUCUCUGGCUAGGAUGUUGUAUUCCAAAGCAGUUGCCAGAAGAGCAUACAGUCAGUGAAAUACACUAAAGAGUCUAUAUACUAUGAAAAUGUAUUAUUCUCACUGGUUAAUAAAAAUCUGACAGGCUGGUAGCUAGGCAGGAAGCUAGGUGAGAAAGCCUGAAACAGAAGACUCUGGGAAGGAGGAGGAGGGGGAGGAGUCGGAGGAGGAGGAGUCACCAGGAAUCAGAGGGAGCAGGACAUGCUGGAGGGCAGCUAAAGUCACAAGCCAUGUGGCAGAAUGUAGAUUAAUAGAAUGAGUAAUAAGCCUGAGCUACCAACAGAGCAUUUAUAAUUAAUAUAAGCCUCAGUGACUGCAGAAUGGGAAAACUCUGCCUACAUUCUGGUAUACCAACAUGUGGCUGAAAUUUCCACAUAAAACCUGACAAAGCUUUAAAAAAUAUUCUAGACACACACCAAAAAAAAAAAAUGAAAUCAAACAUGGCUUCUUGGUAGCUGCAUUUUCUUGGGUGGGCUCUGUUUGCUGACAGCAAGCAGAGGCAGCUCCUUUAAGAAAUGGCUUCCGGGACUUCCCAUCUGGAUAAGAGGUGAGUGCCUGGGCUCAGCCUAAAUCCCAUCCCUGGGCACCAGCCAUUCUGGGGAAGACCUGCCCAACUUGGCCCCAGGUUCUGGCCACUGGGCAGGAUC
Peromyscus maniculatus bairdii (prairie deer mouse) is the source of this 2140-nucleotide non-coding RNA. Lineage: Eukaryota; Metazoa; Chordata; Mammalia; Rodentia; Cricetidae. The record is from RefSeq and is a predicted model, not a curated record.